Molecule: long non-coding RNA, 593 nt
Organism: Hordeum vulgare subsp. vulgare (domesticated barley)
Lineage: Eukaryota; Viridiplantae; Streptophyta; Magnoliopsida; Poales; Poaceae
Exons: 4
Source: RefSeq, a predicted model, not a curated record
GGCAGUUCGUUUACAUUGUGAUGGGUAUGUCAUGCAGCAAGAGAUGUGAGUGUUAGGCUUGAAGAUCAAAGACAAAACUGAGCCCUCUUUUGCUAUGUUACAGCCUACAAAUACAAGAAAAAAUCAUUAUCUAUUAUUCAGUGUUAUUUUUCCUUUUUCUAUUCCUCUAUUGUGUUGACCCCCCUCUUCUUCUCUUCAUCAAUGCCAAGAGCCAGUAACCACUACCGUGGGACGGGGAGCACUCAACCACAGAAAUUCUUGCCUGAAUCUUGCAAUGGAGAUAGUGUCAAUAAUGGAGUUGAAGUUUUCCUCUAUUGUCUAUGAAGAAGACACGGGGAUGACAGUGAAUCAUCGAGUAAUAACCAAGAUCAUCUAGAUGUAUGAACCUGCCUCAUUGUGGCUGUGCGGAGACAUUGAUGAUGAUGAGUCUCUCAUGUCACCAUGAGUUCCACCUCGGAGAAUAUUAGGCAAAGUAGUGGCUCAAACCGGCAGGAUUAGGAGCUGAAGGAGUGAGUGGGUAAAGUCGAUGAGUGAAAAGGCAUCUUCACAAGCAGCAACUCCACCAUCACAUUUAGCAGCAUUCGGGUAGAACC